This 23-nucleotide transfer RNA is filed under the name Tetrastichium virens. RNAcentral describes it as "partial tRNA-Phe". Lineage: Eukaryota; Viridiplantae; Streptophyta; Bryopsida; Hookeriales; Leucomiaceae. The record is from RNAcentral.
GCCGGAAUAGCUCANUUGGUAGA